RNAcentral lists this unclassified non-coding RNA (1225 nucleotides) under Mizuhopecten yessoensis (Yesso scallop). RNAcentral's name for it is "uncharacterized LOC110441763, transcript variant X1". The record is from RNAcentral. Lineage: Eukaryota; Metazoa; Mollusca; Bivalvia; Pectinida; Pectinidae.
GAUUUCUUGUUACUUCUUCUUGUAGAGGUUAAGCAAUGAAGUAGAACACGGACAGUUUCCGUGGCAGCAACAACAGAAUCAAGAUUACGCAUUCUCACAGCAGCAACAUCUACAGUUUCAACAGCAGCAACAUCAGCAUCUGGAGUAUGCACAACCACAACUGCCACAGGAACAGUUUAUGCCACAGCCCCAGCAACAACUACAGCCCCAGCAACAGCACCAGCAACAAGUACAUGAUCAGGAAAUCCUCUUUAAUGGAAUUACAAAGGAACAAUUAUCCGGAAAGGUGAAACACCUUGCCUUCUCUAAGGCAUGCAAAACCUUGUGUAGGAUGAUGUUUAAGGACAGUGAGAGAGAGGGGCACUCUGUUUCCGGCAUGGGGGAGAAGCCGGGUCUUGACAAGGAGAAACUUGAACAGUUAUAUGACAUCAUGAGGCAGCAGUUUCCUGGACCACAGAGCAGCAAUCAGGCCAUCAACAUUAAGCUUGCAUGAGUGUUGAAGCCAUCUGCAACUCCUUAGAAGUCUUAAAGUGUCAAUAGUAGAUAAAUCCAAAACAUAGGAGCAGGCGCUUUCAGGGCAUAUGAAGUGUGGCUGCAGAAGCAUCCCUAGAAAUGCCAACUCUUGUGAGAACAUCUAACAUGAGGAAAUACAUGGCUACCAUGUUGCAGGCUCUCAAUACUACUGAAGCAGACAGACAGUGGGUCUUGGAUCAUUUAGGGCACACAAUGGAAGUACACAAAAUUCAUUCCCGGAUGACGUCAGACAUUCUGGAAAGGGUGGAUGUCGCAAAGAUUCUGUUGAUACAAGAUAUGGGUUUGGUCGGACAAUUUAAGGGAAAAAGACUUGAGGACAUUCAGUUAAAUGGUGUUGUUAUCAGAUGGCCAUCAAAUUUACGUCAAUGAAACAAAGCUGGCACUGAAAAGUGAGAGUCGAAGGACUUGGUCCCUGCUGGACUACUUCUUGGCGCCAAAGUAUCUGGCUGUUCAUAGCGCAACAGGGGGAAAAUCGACCAAACCCGCCCUGCCAGGCAAAAUUAUUCUGGCAAUAAAAGUGUUUCAGGACAUAAGAUGCAUCCUUGAAUACCAUCAUCAACAGAAAAUGUCUGGACAGCAAAAGAUACAUUUGAAUGGAAAAAGACAUUUCCGAAGAUGGAGUCCAUGCAGUCAAAUUUUAAAAUCAUAUAUAAAAUAUUUGAAUGACAUGGAUAUUGUUUUUUAGUUCUUU